AGAGUUUGAUCCUGGCUCAGAACGAACGCUGGCGGCAUGCCUAACACAUGCAAGUCGAACGCCAUGGUUUCGGCCAUGGAGUGGCGCACGGGUGAGUAACGCGUGGGAACCUGCCCAGCAGUAUGGGACAACCGCGGGAAACUGCGGCUAAUACCGUAUACGCCCCUGCAAGGGGGGAAAGAUUGAUCGCUGUUGGAGGGGCCCGCGUCGGAUUAGGUAGUUGGUGGGGUAACGGCCUACCAAGCCUGCGAUCCGUAGCUGGUCUGAGAGGAUGAUCAGCCACACUGGGACUGAGACACGGCCCAGACUCCUACGGGAGGCAGCAGUGGGGAAUAUUGGACAAUGGGCGCAAGCCUGAUCCAGCAAUGCCGCGUGAGUGAUGAAGGCCUUAGGGUUGUAAAGCUCUUUCACGCGCGACGAUGAUGACGGUAGCGUGAGAAGAAGCCCCGGCUAACUCCGUGCCAGCAGCCGCGGUA
This 476-nucleotide ribosomal RNA is filed under the name uncultured Pseudomonadota bacterium. RNAcentral describes it as "bacterial SSU rRNA". It matches the Rfam family "Bacterial small subunit ribosomal RNA", at positions 8 to 522 of the family's 1533-position model. The record is from RNAcentral. Lineage: Bacteria; Pseudomonadati; Pseudomonadota.